UGGAUUACAGGCAGGGAAAAUAAUCUUACACUACAGAGACGUUCACACAAGUAUCAUAUCAAGGUUCCUCAUAUGGGGUCUCUUACUGGGAGUCAUAUCAGCAGCUCUCACCAAGUGCUCCACAGACCAGGGCUUCAUUCCUGUCAACAAGAACCUAUGGUGACGUUCAUUUUCAUGCUUUUACCAGAGUUCAAAUGUUUGCACAACAUUUUAGUUUAUUCGGCACUACAAGUCACUACAAUUAAAGACAUUUAAAUCGCAGUAGUAGAGACGUUGUGUCUUGUCCAAUAAAUAAAAAUCCAGACAAAUUAAGUCAUCUUUUUUUUUUUUUUACGGUUGUUUUCAACUUUAUUGCAUGCACUUGUUUAUUCCCCUU
Labrus bergylta (ballan wrasse) is the source of this 376-nucleotide non-coding RNA. NCBI's taxonomy places the organism in Eukaryota, Metazoa, Chordata, Actinopteri, Labriformes, Labridae. The record is from RefSeq and is a predicted model, not a curated record.